GCCCGUCUGGCGAAAUUGGUAGACGCACCAGAUUUAGGUUCUGACGCCGCAAGGUGUGCCGGUUCGAGUCCGGCGGCGGGCACCA
This 85-nucleotide transfer RNA is filed under the name Alphaproteobacteria bacterium. RNAcentral's name for it is "tRNA-Leu". It matches the Rfam family "tRNA". Rfam says of the family: Transfer RNA (tRNA) molecules are approximately 80 nucleotides in length. RNAcentral also lists the same sequence under 1 other name. Lineage: Bacteria; Pseudomonadati; Pseudomonadota; Alphaproteobacteria. The record is from RNAcentral.